Molecule: small RNA, 76 nt
Filed under: Arabidopsis thaliana (thale cress)
Lineage: Eukaryota; Viridiplantae; Streptophyta; Magnoliopsida; Brassicales; Brassicaceae
Description: ATSL031140
Source: RNAcentral
UUUUAUAUGUAUAAAUCUAUGAAUAAGUAUAUGUAAUUUCGGGUAAGCGGAUACUCUUUCGGGUAUCGGGUUCAGA